UGGGGAAUAUUGGACAAUGGGCGAAAGCCUGAUCCAGCCAUGCCGCGUGUGUGAAGAAGGUCUUCGGAUUGUAAAGCACUUUACGUUGGGAGGAAGGGCAUUAACCUAAUACGUUAGUGUUUUGACGUUACCGACAGAAUAAGCACCGGCUAACUCUGUGCCAGCAGCCGCGGUAAUACAGAGGGUGCCAGCGUUAAUCGGCAUUACUGGGCGUAAAGCGCGCGUAGGUGGUUUGUUAAGUUGGAUUUGAAAUCCCCGGGCUCAACCUGGGAACUGCAUUCAAAACUGACUGACUAGAGUAUGGUAGAGGGUGGUGGAAUUUCCUGUGUAGCGGUGAAAUGCGUAGAUAUAGGAAGGAACACCAGUGGCGAAGGCGACCACCUGGACUAAUACUGACACUGAGGUGCGAAAGCGUGGGGAGCAAACA
RNAcentral lists this ribosomal RNA (427 nucleotides) under uncultured bacterium. Its description in RNAcentral is "partial 16S ribosomal RNA". It matches the Rfam family "Bacterial small subunit ribosomal RNA", at positions 355 to 774 of the family's 1533-position model. The record is from RNAcentral.